AAUUCUUCCCUACCAUCAGCACGUAGGUGGCAAUUCUUAUAGUUGGCACUAUAAAUUUACAUGAAAUGUUAAUAGGUUUUUGAAGUGUUCUAUACUGACCAGAAACCCCCUGAUUCUUGGAUACGUGCGGUAAUUAAAUGGGCUGAGAAGUUACCUUAAAAAGUUAAUUCUCUUUUGCAUACACCUUGAAGAGUUUUCUGAUUGCAAAAAAAUUUAACUCAAACUUGAGUGAAG
Non-coding RNA from Paramuricea clavata, 234 nucleotides. Lineage: Eukaryota; Metazoa; Cnidaria; Anthozoa; Malacalcyonacea; Plexauridae. The record is from the annotation of a GenBank genome assembly.